This 76-nucleotide transfer RNA is filed under the name Actinobacteria bacterium IMCC26103. RNAcentral's name for it is "tRNA-Leu". It matches the Rfam family "tRNA". Rfam says of the family: Transfer RNA (tRNA) molecules are approximately 80 nucleotides in length. Their secondary structure includes four short double-helical elements and three loops (D, anti-codon, and T loops). Lineage: Bacteria; Bacillati; Actinomycetota. The record is from RNAcentral.
GCCCCCGUAGUCCAAUGGCAGAGACAGAGGACUUAAAAUCCUCCCAGUGUGGGUUCGACCCCCACUCGGGGCACCA